RNAcentral lists this ribosomal RNA (407 nucleotides) under uncultured bacterium. RNAcentral's name for it is "partial 16S ribosomal RNA". It matches the Rfam family "Bacterial small subunit ribosomal RNA", at positions 30 to 526 of the family's 1533-position model. The record is from RNAcentral.
AUUGAACGCUGGCGGCAGGCCUAACACAUGCAAGUCGAGCGGAGCGGCGGACGGGUGAGUAAUGCCUAGGAAUCUGCAUGGCAGUGGGGGAUAACGUACGGAAACGGGCGCUAAUACCGCAUACUAUCAGAUGAGCCUAGGUCGGAUUAGCUAGGUGGUGGGGUAAAGGCGUACCAAUGCGACGAUCCGUAACUGGGCUGAGAGGAUGAUCAGUCACACUGGAAAUAAGACCUGGCCCAGACUCCUACGGGAGGCAGCAGUGGGGAAUAUUGGACAAUGGGCGAAAGCCUGAUCCAGCCAUGCCUCGUGUGUGAAGAAGGUGUUCGGAUUGUAAAGCACUUUAAGUUGGGAGGCGUUACCAACAGAAUAAGCACCGGCUAACUUCGUGCCAGCGGCCGCGGUAAUAC